RNAcentral lists this transfer RNA (61 nucleotides) under Ictidomys tridecemlineatus (thirteen-lined ground squirrel). RNAcentral's name for it is "Spermophilus tridecemlineatus (thirteen-lined ground squirrel) tRNA". It matches the Rfam family "tRNA", at positions 6 to 65 of the family's 71-position model. Rfam says of the family: Transfer RNA (tRNA) molecules are approximately 80 nucleotides in length. Their secondary structure includes four short double-helical elements and three loops (D, anti-codon, and T loops). Further hydrogen bonds mediate the characteristic L-shaped molecular structure. tRNAs have two regions of fundamental functional importance: the anti-codon, which is responsible for specific mRNA codon recognition, and the 3' end, to which the tRNAs corresponding amino acid is attached (by aminoacyl-tRNA synthetases). tRNAs cope with the degeneracy of the genetic code in two manners: having more than one tRNA (with a specific anti-codon) for a particular amino acid; and 'wobble' base-pairing, i.e. permitting non-standard base-pairing at the 3rd anti-codon position. The record is from Rfam by way of RNAcentral. Lineage: Eukaryota; Metazoa; Chordata; Mammalia; Rodentia; Sciuridae.
UGUAGCUCAAUGAUAAAGCACUUGCUUUGCAUGCAUGAGGACCUGGGUUCUAUCCUCAGCA